This is a long non-coding RNA of Bactrocera latifrons, 752 nucleotides long. RefSeq lists it as uncharacterized. The record is from RefSeq and is a predicted model, not a curated record. Lineage: Eukaryota; Metazoa; Arthropoda; Insecta; Diptera; Tephritidae. The transcript has 3 exons.
AUCAUCAACAACAUUCCUUAAAUCGAAAUCCAACGCAAAAAGGAAGAUGAAAUUAUGGAAGACUUUAGCUUUGCAUUGGCWGCUGAAGCAUAUUUUAGAUAUGGAUCUACAUUUGUUCAUCAAAUUCACCCAACUUUUUAAUAGAUGUAUUACCGCAUUGGGAUGAAAACAGGUUUCGAGAAAAUGUGCGAGUCAGCAAAACCACAUUUGAUUUUAUCAUUGAUUUGAUAAAGGAUGACGAAGUGUUCAAUGGUCCACGUUCAUGUAAACAGUUCCCUAUCCAAAUUCAAUUGGCUGUAGUAAUGUACCGACUGGGUUCAUGUGGAGAAGGAGCAACAAUUACUAAAAUUGCUAGUUUGUUUGGUAUUAGCGAUGGUGGAGUAAUACAGGUCAUGACCAACAGAGUAUUUGAUGCAAUUAUUAAAAGGAAAACUCAGUUUCUGUUUUGGCCGGACCCUGUAGAGCGUAGAGCUUUAGUUGUUCAAACACUCAGUGAACGGAGAUAAAAUUGGCGGAAAAACCCACUGUAGAUUGUGAAGCAUAUUUUUCUCGCAAGCAUAUAUAUUCACUUAAGGCUCAAURUGUGUGUGACCACAAACUAGUAAUUCGUCAUAUGGUAUUGGGGUAUCCCGGUAGUGUUCAGGACGCUAGGAUAUACAACAAUUGGGAACUGUCCACAAACGCCACUGAAAUGCUAACAGGAUCAGAGUGGUUAGCUGCAGACAGUGCAUAUAAAUUAACUUCGAGCCUUA